AAGGGAAUCAGACCUUUUCCCCUCUUUCUGUUUGCUAAUAGCCCUCGAGCAGGGUGCGAUUUUCUCUGAUUUAUUUUCUAUUUCAACUUAUUCACCAACUAGUUCUCAGCCCAUAGUCUGGAAGUUCAGGCAGCCGUGGGCUGGCAGUGCUGUCACUCGGUUGUGCACAGGAAGCAAAGCAGCGCCAGUGUAUUCUGUGGAGCAUUCAUCGGCUCUGCUGAGUUAUUCACCCCGUGCUAAGCAGUGAAUCCUUUCUCUCCGAGAUCUGAGUUGGAAACAGGCUUGUUUCACUGGGCGGAAAUGCCUCUCUGCAGCCUGGGCACCCAACGCGCCAUCGAACCCGCCCCCCCUCUCCGUUCAGAGAGCGGAUCUGAAAACAGUGGGGUUAUGAGAACCUCAUGGCUGGGGCACAAACACAACAGGGUUAUGGGAAUCUGUUAGUUGAGACAUAAGCAAACAAAUGCGGGAAGCCAGACAAUUUGUCCCUGAUCUCGUCACACGGUCCCUCUGCCAGUGACUGGGGCUCUGGGAAAGCAGCAAGUUGCUCUGCCUCUGGGUCACAGCCCCAUCCCCGGGUGUGAGGGUCUGUCAGGUUGUGUCAGUAACAUGCUGACACUAUCUUGGUGGAGCUGCUGGCCACCGCUCUCCUUGGUUUGAAGGGGCAGACAGCUGAGUGCUGCUGCACUGAUGUGGAGACACAGGGCUGAGCUCCAUUUGUGGCUGGCUCCUGAGCAUGAUACGGGAGCUGCCGUGGCUGGUUCCUGGCUGAGGCCCCUCACGCUCAGCUCUGGGCCCCACAGUACCAGGAACAGGUUAACCAAGAGGAGCCACCAAACUCUCAGGGGCCCGGAGGGGCUGUGUUAUUUGGAAGGGCUGAAUUGGCCUAGGUUGGCCUGGGGAGGCCUGAUAAGGGCCUAGCACUGAUGAGCGACUCGGGGAGGCCCCAGGUUAGUAACUAAGAGCAAAUAUUAGGACAGAAAAGGGUUAGGCUGAUUGUCAGGACCAGCCUGGCUGCCGGUGGGGUGGAGGAUGUGGAGCUCCCUGUCCAGGGGAGGCUGGGAGCUCUAGCAAUCGAGGCAUUUCACACUGGACUCCACCACACCUGAGCUAGUGUACAAGUGGGGCUGAUCCUGCCCUGGCCCACGGGGGAGCAGCAGCUGGGCUGUCUGAUGGGGUUGCAGCAGGGCCAUGGCUUCACUCUCCCUCUGUCCGAUUUCACUCCAUGUCCUUUCCCCUUCCAGGAGGGACGUCCUGGAUCCUGUCGCAGGGAAGCAGAACCGGCUCCAACUUCACAGGCAUUUUAGGGUCUGAUCCAGAGUCCAUUGGAAUCAAUGGAAAGACUCCCAAUGACUUUCGUGGGCUUUGGAUCAAGCCUCUAAUGACCCUGGUUUGGGCCAGGAGGAGCUUCAUUAACUAAGCCCAACAGCAAGCAGGUGCCGGCUUGUCCAUAGGCCACCUGGGGAAGUAUUUGUAAGCACAAAAUGCUGGUACUAAAAGGGAGCUUUAAAUGACAUCCCCAGCAUGGUCCAUGCACCAGCAGCCUUGCCAGGGACUCUCUAGCUCAGGGUUUUAUACUGCUGCCCAUCACCAUAGUACCUGGGCUCUCACAGUGGGGAAUUAGCAAAUAUUAAGCAUUUCCACUCAUAAACAGGGUCAUUAAUUAUUACAGCUCUGCUUCUUGCUGAGGACAGAAUACUGAGCUUGUGCCAUCACAAUCAUUCCUAUGGCAACAAGCCGAUGUCAUCAAGACAGGAUUGAGCUUAUAGCAGGUUCAGGCAGAGGAGAAGUCCGGGACAAAGGAAGCCCUUCUUUAAAGGCAAGAUCUGCCCAGGCAAUAUGGGAUGAGAGCGGCAGCGAAUGUUCCUGGUUGUAUAACAAGUUCUUGGUCUGUAUUUGCUCCAGCAGAAAAGGACACCUCCCCAUCUUCAACACCGCCUCAGAGACUGCCAAGCAACAGGGAUUUCCCUUUAAAACUCUCUCUGGCUGAAGGGAAAGGCAACAAGGGAUGCUGUACAGUGGCAGCCUGACUUCAUACUUUAUACUGCAAA
Molecule: long non-coding RNA, 2048 nt
Organism: Mauremys mutica (yellowpond turtle)
Lineage: Eukaryota; Metazoa; Chordata; Testudines; Geoemydidae
Exons: 3
Source: RefSeq, a predicted model, not a curated record